GCAGGUGGUGCAGAGGGUGGCAACGCAGUCGCACCAGCCAUCGCCUCCGUCACACAACUCGUCGCAGCCGUGGAUGAGGUAGGGACCUAUAAUGCCUUGACGUGGUAGCGGCGAGGCUUCCGCGCGGGCUAAAGCGCGCCUCAACAGUCUCACGGAAAUUUCGCCAGUGACUGCUGCCCACUUCACCUUACGUCGUACUGAGUUUACUUCAGCACUUAAUAUGGGAUAGCAUAAUGUCUUAAGGAGCCAUGAUUUACAAAAAUGAUGAAAUUAACAUAAAACUUUUUUAAGAGUUGUUUCUUUGAAAAAAUAAGGAAGCAGGAGAAAAAUUACAUUCUAUAGGAAGGUUAAAUAGUUCUCAACUUUUUAUCUAAUCCAUUAACGAUACCAAACAACACUUGAAACAGUUUUACGUCAUUUAACCGUAUGACCAGCGAAUGAUAAGAGAGUGUGAUUUUGCAUGCAAUGCUCCUUUAUUAUCUUAUGCUAUCUCACUGUUAACAUUUUAAUCAUAAUGAUGGUUAAAGUAGUAAACAACAAUAGUGCAUGUUAUACAAUUUUAACUAGACUGGUAAACUCAAAGUUCUUGAUAUUUGUAUCACAAUCAAGUCUCGGGUCUGUCCUAUCUAUUUGUAAAUGAUACUACUAAUCAUCUUUAUAUUAUUUUGUGAAUAUUGUGUAGAUAAUUUUUAAUGGAGGCUUUAUUUACCGUCAUCAGGCGAGCGAGGUUAACGGACAUUUUAAAUAUGGUCUCUGAUUUGGAUAUUAUAAUACAACGGACGUUGUAACAUUAGACGACACGACGCGACUAACGAUAAUGGGAUGUUAUUUAUAGUAAGGUAUAAAUACGACAAAUGGCGCUAAUUUUAAUAAUGUAGCAGAUUUGCCAUACGAGAUAAGAUGUGUUUUAAAUUAAAUUAGCGCCAUCUGUUGUAUACAGACUUUACGGUCCAUUUUCGUAUUGAUAUCGUUGUGUCUGAUGCUACAACGCCUAUUAUUCGACACAGAAAGUAAGGGAUCAGUCAGAGGUUACACACGGUGACAGUAUUAUACCUUGCUAUGUGCCUUCUUAUAAUCGUGUAGCCUUCAUUGAAUGCUGGAAAACUAUUUUUAUAAAGAUCGAUCAGGAUCUUGUGAAAAAGGUUUUCAACGUAUCUCAUUCAAUUCACUAAGAGACUAAGAUUUUUAAUGAGAUUCCGGUCUAUAUACAGGAAGUCAUGUAAAUAGUGGAUGAACAUUCAAGGGUUCACAGCAAAGGACAAAAUAAAAAAUUUUUUGUUAUUAAAUAUUUUAAAAUUUUUCCCAAAACUUCGAUAUUUUGUAUAUUAAUAUUUUCGGUGGCCCAAAGGCUAGCACUAUGGGCGCUCGUUGAGGAGGUCACGGGUUCAAUUAACAGUACGUACGUGUGAUUUUGGUCUGGAUAGUGACCCCUUGUUAACCACCGCUACUUCAUUUUAAUUAUAUUAAUUUUUUGAAGGUUUUCUGCGUACUUAUAAAAAUUAAAUUGUUAUGCAAGCUGUCACCCCUUGACUAUUAUCCAUUAAGUAAUGAAUUCUCUGUACAAGUGACGGAUUGAUUUUAUUGGAUAUCGCGGGUUGUGGUCACAUGUAGCCGCAAUCGAGUCACAAAGUUGCAAUGCCAUAGUGUAAUAAAUAAAAAAUAUUACGUAAUGAAUACUUAAGAUGUUUAUGCCUUAUCAUAUUUUAUUAUUACGUGCAUUAUUUAUGUAAAUAUCAUCUGUUCCAUGCGCACGAGUUUUUUUUUGUUUUUCAACUGUGAUCGAGACCGUCGCGUUUAUUGUGAAUAUGUUUGUCGAUAUUUUGAAGAUGUUUGCUAAUGGGCUAAUAGAAUCUUUGAAUUUUGACAUAAGAUGUUGAAAGCGUUGGCGUGUUAUUUCCAUAUAUAUUUAGAUUGUCGUUAAAAGUAAUAUUCGGUAUUCAUAUUCCAUAUAUCUGCAUCAUCCCGGGGUACCUUGACCAUUGUUAGUGCUGACCUCUUUUAGUGCGCCUUGCGCCUGUUUAAUUACUAGUGUCAUUCUGCUGGUGAUUGUUUGAGUGCUUGUUUAACGGUAUUGGUUCUUAAAUUAUAAAUAUUCGUGGAGAACUGUUUGCUACACUUCGCCAAUGUUUUGCCAUAUAAUUUUUUCUAAAAUUAUUGUUUACUAACACAUUUUUUUUGUAUAGGUACGUAUGAUCGUGAUCAUCGUCUAAAUUCUAACGUAUUUAUGUGCUUUAGAAGUCGAUGUUUUAAUGUGGUAUGGAAAGUGUUUUAUUAGUGUUUCUUUAGUGUCAUUCCAGACAAAAGACAAUAUUGUCAGCAUUUAUAGAUUAUUCUUUGAACUUAGUUCUGAUAACCGGUGAGUUAAAACAUCUAAUUGUUCACGUAAGCAAAUUUAUUAUAAAUUCUGGUAGUUUAGUAUUCAAAUUUAGAUUUUAGUUGUGGUUAAUUACGUAUUCGGAAUAAUACUGACUAAAACAGUAAUAACGGUUCACUAGAGCAGAUUUUUCUUAUAGGUACGGCGAUUCGACGAGGGUAAAGUAUUAAUUAUGUGAAUAUAAAAAAGUAUUCCGGCACCAACGACCAUACGGUGUCAAUAUAAAAAAAACAUGCUUAAUAUGCGACAAUAUUUAGCAGUUGGGAGUAUAUAGAGUAUAUUAUUAUGAAGACUACAAAACAAUUAUUAUUGCUGUGUAAAAAUGUAAACCUUAUUAUAAAUGUGUAAAUUGUGUAGUAUAAUAUAAAGAAAGCUGUUUUAUGAAGUGUUCUUAUAAGCAUAUGGAGAGUAGUUAAAAGUCUUUCCAAUCAUUAAUUUGGCUCGGCGGGAGGGGUUUUGUAACUUUGUAACCUUGUUUGUAACGAGAGGUAUCUCCGAUUCUUGCGUCCGGAGGUAGACUGACCGUUCCCUUUGACGAAAGUACUUUAAGUGCUGCGCGCGUCUCUCCCUUCGCGCCGUGUUUUGCCUUGUAUUUUAUUUUGCCAUGUCACGAGCAUGGAAGACGAGUUGAUUUCGACGGAGGAUCAAAAAUUAUUUUUCCACUUGAUCGUAUAAUAGA
Molecule: long non-coding RNA, 3053 nt
Organism: Hyposmocoma kahamanoa
Lineage: Eukaryota; Metazoa; Arthropoda; Insecta; Lepidoptera; Cosmopterigidae
Exons: 2
Source: RefSeq, a predicted model, not a curated record